RNAcentral lists this ribosomal RNA (562 nucleotides) under Lactiplantibacillus plantarum. Its description in RNAcentral is "bacterial SSU rRNA". It matches the Rfam family "Bacterial small subunit ribosomal RNA", at positions 66 to 593 of the family's 1533-position model. Lineage: Bacteria; Bacillati; Bacillota; Bacilli; Lactobacillales; Lactobacillaceae. The record is from RNAcentral.
ACGAACUCUGGUAUUGAUUGGUGCUUGCAUCAUGAUUUACAUUUGAGUGAGUGGCGAACUGGUGAGUAACACGUGGGAAACCUGCCCAGAAGCGGGGGAUAACACCUGGAAACAGAUGCUAAUACCGCAUAACAACUUGGACCGCAUGGUCCGAGCUUGAAAGAUGGCUUCGGCUAUCACUUUUGGAUGGUCCCGCGGCGUAUUAGCUAGAUGGUGGGGUAACGGCUCACCAUGGCAAUGAUACGUAGCCGACCUGAGAGGGUAAUCGGCCACAUUGGGACUGAGACACGGCCCAAACUCCUACGGGAGGCAGCAGUAGGGAAUCUUCCACAAUGGACGAAAGUCUGAUGGAGCAACGCCGCGUGAGUGAAGAAGGGUUUCGGCUCGUAAAACUCUGUUGUUAAAGAAGAACAUAUCUGAGAGUAACUGUUCAGGUAUUGACGGUAUUUAACCAGAAAGCCACGGCUAACUACGUGCCAGCAGCCGCGGUAAUACGUAGGUGGCAAGCGUUGUCCGGAUUUAUUGGGCGUAAAGCGAGCGCAGGCGGUUUUUUAAGUCUGAU